AGGAGGAACAGCCCCAGUGGCGGGGCAGCUCUGGAGCCCUGGAUUCAGCCCCCGCAGGAACUCUGUCUGCAGGGCCUGGAGGCUCCGGGGCGGG
RNAcentral lists this microRNA precursor (94 nucleotides) under Canis lupus familiaris (dog). Its description in RNAcentral is "mir-8834 microRNA precursor family". It matches the Rfam family "mir-8834 microRNA precursor family". The record is from Rfam by way of RNAcentral. RNAcentral also lists the same sequence under 1 other name. Lineage: Eukaryota; Metazoa; Chordata; Mammalia; Carnivora; Canidae.